RNAcentral lists this long non-coding RNA (413 nucleotides) under Homo sapiens (human). RNAcentral describes it as "HSALNT0164478". The record is from RNAcentral. Lineage: Eukaryota; Metazoa; Chordata; Mammalia; Primates; Hominidae.
AAUGCUGCACACAUAGGAGUUAGUAUAAUUCAGAAAUUUAGUCUGUAUUGCAUUUGGAAAUAAUUUUGUGAAGGUUAUUCAUGCAGCAUUAUUAAUAAUUGCAAAAUAUUGGAAACCAUAUAAAUGACCAGUUCUAGAAGAUUGGUUGAAUAUACUCUGGAACAUACAAUAGACUACUAUGUUUAUAAAAGCUAUCUGUUUUUAUAAAUAUAUGGAGUAAUUUCCAGGAAAUAUUACAUGAAACAAAAAGCAGAAACAAAUACCCAUAGUGCUACUUGUCAUACAAGAAAAAGGGAGAAUUAAAGAAUGUGUAUGUUCAGGAAGGAUAAAGCAGAAAACAGGAGUGAGACUUGGAUAUUGGGGUAUACUUUCUUGGCAUAGUUUCAACUUUUGAAAGCAUGUUAAUGUCCAAC